This 879-nucleotide ribosomal RNA is filed under the name uncultured bacterium. Its description in RNAcentral is "bacterial SSU rRNA". It matches the Rfam family "Bacterial small subunit ribosomal RNA", at positions 1 to 903 of the family's 1533-position model. The record is from RNAcentral.
GCCCUUAGAGUUUGAUCCUGGCUCAGGAUGAACGCUGGCGGCGCGCCUAACACAUGCAAGUCGAACGGCACCCAUCUUCGGAUGGAAGCGAGUGGCGAACGGCUGAGUAACACGUGGAGAACCUGCCCCCUCCCCCGGGAUAGCCGCCCGAAAGGACGGGUAAUACCGGAUACCCCGGGGCGCCGCAUGGCACCCCGGCUAAAGCCCCGACGGGAGGGGAUGGCUCCGCGGCCCAUCAGGUAGACGGCGGGGUGACGGCCCACCGUGCCGACAACGGGUAGCCGGGUUGAGAGACCGACCGGCCAGAUUGGGACUGAGACACGGCCCAGACUCCUACGGGAGGCAGCAGUGGGGAAUCUUGCGCAAUGGGGGGAACCCUGACGCAGCGACGCCGCGUGCGGGACGGAGGCCUUCGGGUCGUAAACCGCUUUCAGCAGGGAAGAGUCAAGACUGUACCUGCAGAAGAAGCCCCGGCUAACUACGUGCCAGCAGCCGCGGUAAUACGUAGGGGGCGAGCGUUAUCCGGAUUCAUUGGGCGUAAAGCGCGCGUAGGCGGCCCGGCAGGCCGGGGGUCGAAGCGGGGGGCUCAACCCCCCGAAGCCCCCGGAACCUCCGCGGCUUGGGUCCGGUAGGGGAGGGUGGAACACCCGGUGUAGCGGUGGAAUGCGCAGAUAUCGGGUGGAACACCGGUGGCGAAGGCGGCCCUCUGGGCCGAGACCGACGCUGAGGCGCGAAAGCUGGGGGAGCGAACAGGAUUAGAUACCCUGGUAGUCCCAGCCGUAAACGAUGGACGCUAGGUGUGGGGGGACGAUCCCCCCGUGCCGCAGCCAACGCAUUAAGCGUCCCGCCUGGGGAGUACGGCCGCAAGGCUAAAACUCA